RNAcentral lists this ribosomal RNA (894 nucleotides) under uncultured bacterium. RNAcentral's name for it is "bacterial SSU rRNA". It matches the Rfam family "Bacterial small subunit ribosomal RNA", at positions 8 to 916 of the family's 1533-position model. The record is from RNAcentral.
AGAGUUUGAUCCUGGCUCAGGACGAACGCUGGCGGCGUGCUUAACACAUGCAAGUCGAACGAUGAAGCCCUUCGGGGUGGAUUAGUGGCGAACGGGUGAGUAACACGUGGGUAAUCUGCCCUGCACUUCGGGACAAGCCCUGGAAACGGGGUCUAAUACCGGAUACGACCAUCUGAGGCAUCUCAUGGUGGUGGAAAGCUCCGGCGGUGCAGGAUGAGCCCGCGGCCUAUCAGCUUGUUGGUGAGGUAGUGACUUACCAAGGCGACGACGGGUAGCCGGCCUGAGAGGGCGACCGGCCACACUGGGACUGAGACACGGCCCAGACUCCUACGGGAGGCAGCAGUGGGGAAUAUUGCACAAUGGGCGCAAGCCUGAUGCAGCGACGCCGCGUGAGGGAUGACGGCCUUCGGGUUGUAAACCUCUUUCAGCAGGGAAGAAGCGUGAGUGACGGUACCUGCAGAAGAAGCGCCGGCUAACUACGUGCCAGCAGCCGCGGUAAUACGUAGGGCGCAAGCGUUGUCCGGAAUUAUUGGGCGUAAAGAGCUCGUAGGCGGCGUGUCACGUCGGUUGUGAAAGCCCGGGGCUUAACUUCGGGUCUGCAGUCGAUACGGGCAGGCUAGAGUUCGGUAGGGGAGAUCGGAAUUCCUGGUGUAGCGGUGAAAUGCGCAGAUAUCAGGAGGAACACCGGUGGCGAAGGCGGAUCUCUGGGCCGAUACUGACGCUGAGGAGCGUAAGCGUGGGGAGCGAACAGGAUUAGAUACCCUGGUAGUCCACGCCGUAAACGGUGGGCACUAGGUGUGGGCCACAUUCCACGUGGUCCGUGCCGCAGCUAACGCAUUAAGUGCCCCGCCUGGGGAGUACGGCCGCAAGGCUAAAACUCAAAUGAAUUGACGG